This 307-nucleotide unclassified non-coding RNA is filed under the name Athalia rosae (coleseed sawfly). Its description in RNAcentral is "misc RNA ENSAEAG00005007493.1". The record is from RNAcentral. Lineage: Eukaryota; Metazoa; Arthropoda; Insecta; Hymenoptera; Athaliidae.
UAUUUAUUUAUUCGUCAAAUUAUAAAUUUAUACGUAAUGCCCAUAUACUUUCAACGCGAAGCAAUUGUUGCGUCCAUGAUUGCGGACUGUUUCGGUUUUUCGUCUUGGAUACAACGGCAGUUCAGCUUCAGUAUGGCUUCAGCGACAGAAGAGGCGACAUCAGGAGCGACAUGAGGAGCGACAUCAGUAGCAACGCAGUUUCCUCAGAGCGACGAUGGAGAGAGGGAACGGUCGCAGUUCCUCCAACGUCAUUGACCGGACUCCCCCUGUUCAUCAGGGGGAGUCCACCGUCCCCUGGGACUGCGCG